CUUGGUCAUCCAUCUGAAGAGGUUCAAAUACAUUGAGCAGCUGGGUCGAUACAAGAAGCUAUCUUAUCGAGUUGUCUUCCCACUUGAGCUGAAGCUGAGUAACACAAUGGAAGAUGCAGAUAUUGAAUACUCAUUAUUUGCAGUAGUUGUUCACGUUGGAAGUGGGCCAAAUCAUGGACAUUAUGUCAGCCUUGUGAAAAGCCACAAUCACUGGCUAUUUUUUGAUGACGAAAAUGUGGAGAUGAUUGAUGAGUCUGCUGUGCAGACAUUUUUUGGGUCUGCGCAGGAGUAUUCAAGUAAUACAGAUCACGGGUACAUCUUGUUUUACGAGAGCCUUGGCGCUAGUAGCAAGAGUUGAGAAGAGGGAGCUUUGGUUUUACAAGUAGGCAUUUUAAUCAUUUGGACUGGCUUAUCUUUUUCUUAUUUUCUGUUAUUAUUGUUUUUCUUUUUCUUUUGUCCUUCAACCACUGGGAAUAGCUCUCAAACUUGGACAUCUGAGAUGAUAUGGGUUGUGAAAAAUGUAUACUUGGGUUGUUUCCAUGUACAGUGGAUGGUGGAAGCACACAGUCCUUUUGUUUUUUCAGAAUAAGAAGAAAGAAUAUCAGUGUAUAUGGUGUGAGAGAAAUCCACAGACGCUUGUAUUCUUCAUGGUUGAGAAUGUUUAAUCAAACAUUAGAAAUGAAAUCCAAUUGGAAUUGCUUGGAG
RNAcentral lists this unclassified non-coding RNA (705 nucleotides) under Hevea brasiliensis (rubber tree). The record is from RNAcentral. Lineage: Eukaryota; Viridiplantae; Streptophyta; Magnoliopsida; Malpighiales; Euphorbiaceae.